Molecule: ribosomal RNA, 445 nt
Filed under: uncultured bacterium
Lineage: Bacteria
Description: bacterial SSU rRNA
Rfam family: Bacterial small subunit ribosomal RNA
Source: RNAcentral
AGGCCUUAUACUGCAAGUCGAGGGGCAGCAUUUACUUCGGUAAAUGGCGACCGGCGCACGGGUGAGUAACGCGUAUGCAACCUACCUUUAACUGGGGCAUAGCUCGAGGAAACUCGAAUUAAUUCCCCAUAGUACAUUAUAAUGUCACAUGAUAUAAAUGUUAAAGAUUUAUCGGUUAAAGAUGGGCAUGCGUCUGAUUAGUUUGUUGGUAAGGUAACGGCUUACCAAGGCUACGAUCAGUAGGGGGUCUGAGAGGAUGAUCCCCCACACUGGUACUGAGACACGGACCAGACAUCUACGGAUGGCAGCAGUAAGGAAUAUUGGGCAAUGGGCGCAAGCCUGACCCAGCCAUGCCGCGUGCAGGAUGACGACCCUAUGGGUUGUAAACUGCUUUUAUAUAGGAAGAAAAUACUCUUGCGAGAGGAUCUGACGGUACUAUAUGAAU